AGCUAGCUGAAUAGGUUAGCAGGAUUUUAUGUUCUCCAUUUUGACAAAUACAAGGAGACAUGAUCCCAGCUUUGCAUUACUAAUCAGAAAACUUCUGUUUUCAAGUCUUCUAGCACUUGAUUAGUCACAUUUCCUUAAAUUUUUUUUCUUCUUCUCCACAACAUAAAGCAACAGGCGAGUUCUCUUUCAAAAAUCAUUCCCACUUCAGAAGCGGGGCCCAAAUCGUGACUGGGCUGACCUUGCUGUGCUUGGGAGUAAUACUGCUUGCAGCACUGAAAGGCUCCCGCAGGUUAAUUUAGGCCCCUGCCGAAACUCUUCUGAUUUGUACCGACGUUCAAUGGUUUCCUGGAGGCAAACUCACUUGCUAAUAGGCAGGAAUUAUUCCUCAUUUUAGGAGCAACAGUCUGCCCACACCAUCUUAUAAAGCACAGCCCUCCACAUUGCUCUGGAAGACAGACGUUGCUAAAGAAUCCAAAGGCAAACUGGAAGAAUAACAACUGCAUUGCAGGCAACAGACUGACCAGUCUGGGUGAACUCGCUGAAGCUGGAAUUUGUUGGGCUUCUUUACGAAUCACUAGAUGCAGAGAGCCCUGCGUGUACAUGGGGGAGAUUUUAUUCAUUUAUUCAUGAGAGACACACACAGAGAGAGGCAGAGACACAGGCAGAGGAAGAAGCAGGCUCCAUGCAGGGAGCCUGACAAGGGACUCGAUCCUGGGUCUCCAGGAUCACGCCCUGGGCUGAAGGCGGCUGAGCCACCCGGGCCGCCCAAUACUUGUAUAUUUGCAUAAAUGUCUGUUUCAACUAGAGAUUUUUGCAUUUCACUGUGCUUUUGUAAAGAGAAGAGGAACCUGGCAAUAUAGGUAUUAUACAAGGAAUUGUGCAAAGAUUACAAUUUAUUUUGUAGGAGUGUGAACAUCCUCCAUUACAUAUAUUCUAAGCAAGAGAAACAUUUCAUGUCUGACUUUAUGGAACUGAGCUCUGUGCAAGACCAGAUGACCCAGACAUUCUUCUCGUUGGCCAGGACACACACAGAUGAAAGAACUGAGACCCAAAGAAGUCAGAUGACUAACACAGAGCAUUACUGUGAUUUCACUUCUAAAGCCUCACCAGUGCCGAUGUGCCUUUAGGAAGGAACAAAGGAUUGGGACUCAAGAGCUUUUGCCUCUGGUCCAGCGUUUUGAAGCUUAUCCCUAAACCCACAGUUUCUGACUGCAGACUGAAUUGAUAGUUCUGGAGGCCAAAUUCCCACAAUUAAGGUGUUGGCAGGGCCACACUCUCUCCAGAAGCUCCAGUGGAGAAUCUCCUCCUUGUUCUUCCAGUUUCUGAUGGUUUCCGAAAGAACUGCUCUUCAUUGAAGUAAACUGUGUAGCUCAAGGUUCUGCCCCCUGUGGAAGGGUAUAAAGUCAGCCCUGAAAGGCUAUACAACUUUGAUCAUCCUGUGGAAUUAGCUGAGGCACCUGUUUACUACUUCUCCACAGAUCAAGUUCUCCCUCUGUCCAAUCUUAUUUAUAGCAUGUUAAUCAGCAACAGGUGCCAACCCCCAUGUUGAGAAGAAAGGCAGGCCUCAGGGGCGUUUGGAUGGAGGAUUCUUGGAGAUAACCUCUCUUCCUGAGUUUUAUAAAAGAGGAAGAGGCUCAGGGAAGAGAUUAUGCUAUGUCUCCUGUACCAUGUCGUAGUAGACCCUCUUGGAACAUAGUAGACACCUGACAAAUACUUACUGAAAAAUACAGUAAGUUCCGGAAGAGCUCCUGCUUCUUGUAUUAUUGCUCACUUGUAUAUUUCCAGCCCCCAAAUCAUUUCUGGAAUGUUAUAAGGCACUUAAUAAAUAUUUAUGGCAACAAUGAAAUAGUAGAACCAAGACUGAAACCAGGAUUAUCUAAUUCCAUAACCGAGCAUGUAACUAUUAUUCUGUAGUGGUUAGUUGCAUGAGGUCAGAAAAAAUUAAUUGAAUCCUAAUCAUAAGGGAUCUUUAAUUCCAUAUUCAACAACUUAAAUUGUAAUAUACAGACAACUGAUGAUUUUGAAGUGGAGGAAGCAACUGAAUCACAGCUAUGCUUUAGAUCAAAAGUUCUCUUUACCACCAGUUGGAUUAGAUUAAUUAUAGAGAAGGAGCCACAACAGGGGCUGGGAGAAGAGUUAACAUAUUAUUAUAAGAGCCAGAUAAUAGAUCAAUGGGGCAUCAGAAUCCAAAAAGACGGUGAUGAUUCCACAGAUAUUGGAGAGACCUAAUACACAGAAUGGUGGAGUGAGAGGUAGAAAAGUACAGAAAUGAAAGAUAAGAAUGAGGUUCUAAGCUUAUCUGAAUAGCAUGCUAGAGAUGCCAAUAAUUGAAAUUGGGAAGACAGAGGUUUUAUUGUUUUGUUUUUUAAAUAUUUAAUUUAUUUAUUCAUGAGGGACACAGAGAGAAAG
This is a long non-coding RNA of Canis lupus familiaris (dog), 2409 nucleotides long. RefSeq lists it as uncharacterized. Lineage: Eukaryota; Metazoa; Chordata; Mammalia; Carnivora; Canidae. The record is from RefSeq and is a predicted model, not a curated record. The transcript is spliced from 11 exons.